Long non-coding RNA from Peromyscus maniculatus bairdii (prairie deer mouse), 2865 nucleotides. RefSeq lists it as uncharacterized. Lineage: Eukaryota; Metazoa; Chordata; Mammalia; Rodentia; Cricetidae. The record is from RefSeq and is a predicted model, not a curated record.
GGGAGCUCACAAUAGGAGCCCCUGAAGACUAGCUCUCAAAUCACCCUGAACCACCCACCCCUCAGAACCCAAGUGGCUCGCCUCCCCAGUGCUAGGGAGUCCCUCUGCUAAUAACGAGCUGUAUGGCAGCUGGGGGUAGAGCCUAGCCUGCGGUACUCCCCAGGAGCACCCCUGAACCGCUGUGCUGGCUUCGUAAGGGACAAAAGUCUAGGAAGCACCAAGGGUGGGGACCCCCGGGAAAACAAAGGCCAGGCCAGACUGUCCAGGGCAGGGACACUUCCUUAGGCAGCCAGCAGGAAGGAAGUGAGCCCAGCCCAGCCGGAUGGGAUGGAGUGGGGAAACUCUGCCCUGACGCCUCUAUUGUUUAUAGCUUUGGGGUCAGCUAAGCAGGUCCAGAACAGGGAGUUCCCCCGGGCAGGAUGGUGGUGUAGGAGAUAGGACACUGUCUGAUAUGGGGAGCCUUGGCCCCUGAACAGGACGCCCUGACCAAGGGGCCUUAAGCCUGACUUAUUACAGGGGAUGGAAAUCAGUCCACAGAACUGGGAGUCUAGGCUACCCAGGGUGAUCCUUCUGGAGACUUGACAAGUUCCAGCCCUGCAGCAAUUCAAGGCCAACUGCCCUGACCCUGGGUUGAUGAAUUCCUCCUUCCUAAUUGGAAGUUCUAGAGCUUAUGGCCAAAGGCUAGGCCUAGCAGAGAACCUGCUCACAGAAUACCCUGAGAGGUGUAGGCAGAAUGUGCAUUGGCAGCAGAGAGCUGAGGAAGUACUGGGUCGACAGAGCCUUACAACAGCAGCUGCAGCAGAAGCCUGAGCUCAUCUGACCCAUGGCUAACUGGGAAGAGGCAGGCUGAGCUGGAUGAAACGAAGAUUUUAAGACUCCCAGAGACCGUCUUUGCGGGAUUAUGGGAGAGCUUCUACCCAAGGGACAAGCCUCAGCCAACUCUUCUCUAAAGAGACCUUCUGGGCUGUCAGGAGCGGCACGCCACUUGCUUUUCCCCUCCCUUCGCUCUGAUGGGGACCCAAAACAUGACAGUCGUCCUGAAUGAAACGGGGGUGGGGGCGUUCCUCGCUCCCGGCUGUCCUCCCCAAGGCAGACACCCAUGCCCUUACCCGCGGCGCGUGAAUACGAAGGGGGGCACCGCUCGGGUUCGAGACCGCACCAAAGACUGCUCGGCGCCUGCCGCUUCGGGGCCGCCGCCCCCCGGGGUGGAGGCAAAGGGCCAGAGGCCCCGAGCUUUGGAGCCGCUGGCGCCCAUGUCAGCGCCGCGGGCGCAUGGCGGACCCAGCGGCCGCUCCGCUCUCACAGCGCGGCGGGCGCGACCAUGCCCUGCCCCAGCCUCCACUCACAGGUGCCGCCGCCGCCGCCGCCUUCCGCAGGCUCCGCUGUCUCCACGGAAACCUCACUUCCGCUUCCGCCCGCCCUGCACGCUGCUUCCUCUGAGUGGCUGAAGAGCUCGUCAGUCUGUGAAGUCGAACCAAUGGGCACCCUCGGAGGAUGAACACCCCAGGAUGCGCUGCCUCCAGGUCCCAGAAGGCUUUGGGUCCCGAGGGUCAGCUGGGCCAGCUCCCUCCCCGAAAAGCGGAGGUAAUGUGUUGUUAUGGACUUUAAGGUCGGGCCGGGUAGGAGUGUCCCAAAGUCCCUGACGCCCAACACUUGGGCCCAGUGGCAAUACUCAAUUAGGUCACCCCGCCACCCCCAAAGGGACUUUAGGCCUGCCUCAGGCUAGGAUACAUUUAGCUUGUUUUCACAACUGUUUUUGCAGUGGUUACCUUUGUACAUAAGGAAAUUAAGGAACUCGGUAAAUGUCUUUCGUUUUCUUGAGACAAGGUCUCACUAUGUGGCCUUAGCUGGCCUGGAACCUGCUGUGUAUAACAGGCUGGCUUCAAACUCAUGUCCACCUGCUUCUGCCUCCUAAAUGCUGGGAUUAAAGCAGGAGCAGCUAUGCAGGGGGCCAAAAUAUCUUUGAAAACUUUUUGGUCAAAUUUCUUAUGACUACAUUUGAGGUUAAAUUAAGUGUUGUAAAUGUACCAGAUAACACACUUCAGGAAAACAAGAAUUGGUUAGCAGCUGUACCCUGUAGCGUGUGGAAUGUUGUUUUGUAUUCAGGUAGUUAUUUGGUGAAGGGGUUAUUGCUAUGGUUUCUCUGAGGCACUAACUGAGAGAAAUAGUUCCCGUGUGCUCUACCUGUAGUUUAUUCUUGUCUCCACCAUGACCUGGGCCCCAAUGUUGACAGAUACCCAAAUCCAUAGGCAUAGAUCUCCUAACAUUGGUCCCACUGUGACCGUGGAAAGGAUGCACUGUGUGUGUGUGUGUGUGUGUCCAUCACUGUUGGCAGUCAUUCUCAUUAGGUCCUGCCCUGACUGUGGGCCCACAUCUACAGAGUCCAAAACCAGAAAAAUUCUUAAAUCUUUAUUCAGCCAAUUCUCUCAGGUCUCAGGCCCUGAUGAUGACUGUCACACCCCCAUCCCUUUCCCCACAGGAGGCAUUCAGUUGAGGCCACAAAGCAUUACAUACAUUCAUACACUUCCAUCAAAACUAUCUGAGGGAGACUCUGGCUUUGGCAAACAAGAAGUGGGUCUGGUUCAGCAACAUCUUCCUUAGAGGCGGCGCUGAGGCGUUGUGGCUGGACUUGCCAGCCUUCCCUGACCUCAGGGGAUGUGUAUAAGUCAUAAGGCACUGUAAGAGGAAACAGACCCUACCGUAACGCCUGUAUUAUUCUGAGCAGGUACCCUGGGCUCUGACUGGCUACCCUGAGACUUAUUCACCACCCAGAACAAUCUUUCUCCAUAGAUAAGGGCCCUCAGCCCUGCAAACAUAACCUGGUUCUGUUUGUAGAGUCUCUAAGAUUCUCACGGCUGAGACCCU